Acinonyx jubatus (cheetah) is the source of this 5175-nucleotide RNA transcript. It is a transcript of the gene named zinc finger protein 77-like, with no coding region annotated. The transcript is spliced from 6 exons. The record is from RefSeq and is a predicted model, not a curated record. NCBI's taxonomy places the organism in Eukaryota, Metazoa, Chordata, Mammalia, Carnivora, Felidae.
UUUAUUUCAGCUUUUCGUGCUUUUAUUUCAUUUCACUUUUUCCAGCUUUUGUUACUUUUAAAUCAGUUGAAAUAGGAAGUCAGUUGCCUUCAGGAUAUCGUAGCCUUUAAUUGUACAAAAUUCGCUAGAGAUCUGAAAAACAUUUCCUUGCAGAGUGUGAAAGACGACUCAAUGAAGAAGGUAGCCCUAAAAGAGUCACUCAAAAUACAGUCGGAAGGACAUUCAGGAAGCAGGGACUACGCACGUCCCCUGUUUCAAUUUUCAGAACACCGUGAACUUUUGACUUUUGUCAAUUGCAACUCCACCUCCUCCUGGAACACUUCCUCCUACUGGGGACCGAAAUAGAGAUCCUGUAAUGCCUGUUAGCCAAGUAGCCAAUCGUGCAUUAGACAGUCAGUUUAAACUCUGCCAGCACCAAUCAUAAUUCUUUCAAAACAACUUAUGUAACCUUGUAUUUUUUUUGCCUUUAUAAGCCUGCUCUCCUUGUUAGCAUUUCGGAGCACACUUUGUAUUUUGACUCUGGCUCUCCGGAUUGCAAGCCCUAAGACCCCAAAUAAACGCUUUGGGUUGCUUUACAGUCUUGUGGGCUUUUUGGCUGAAAAGAGUAAAAUGCAGGUCUGAGAAUUCCAACAUCCCACCCCUGUGGCUGUGCUGAGGGGUGAGGUUGACUGACCUCAAGUCCCAGAGGUGGGGGACGGGAGAGGAGGCGGGGCCUCCUAGCGUGAAAGGUCACAGGUCAAAACCCACGGACCCUGGCUCUGCCCUUACUGUUGAGGAUCUUUGUUCUUUUUUAAUAUAUAUAUUUUAAGUGUUUGUUUAUUUUUGAGAGAGAGAGAGACAGAGCUUGAGCAGGGUAGGGAUAGAGAGUGGCAGACACAGAAUCUGAAGCAGGCUCCAGGCUCCGAGCUGUCAACACUGAGCCCGACAAGGUACUCGAACUCACGAACAGCCAGAUCAUGACCUGAGCCCAAGUCGGAGGUUGAAGCCACGGAGCCACCCAGGCGCCAGGAGGAUCUUUGUUCUUAAACAAAAGUCACAGAUCCGCUCUUGACCUCGCCCCCGCGCCAACCCUUGACCCUAGGGCUCACCGGCCCCUCCCGUCCGUCCCCUCCUGUCCAAGCUCCUGACAAGGGGCGCUCCGCAGGGAAACUGAGUCAGGAUCUCACGGUCCAGGAGGAAGACGUAGGCAGGAUGGGUGGCCGAGCUGCAGGCGCCGGAGGUCCAACCGCAGGGAGCGGUCUCAGCUCUAAGCCCACGCUGGCCAGACACGUGUGUCCGAACGACCUGUCACUCAGGACGCAAGGGGCAGGGUCUGGGAGGAUUGUCCAAUCAGGGGGGGCAGGGGCGGUGCGGAGGCGCGGAGGCACUGUGGGUGGGCAACCGCAGGCCCGGUCUCUGAGGGGGCGGGGUCCGGAAGACGAACCAAUCAGGACGCAUGGUCCCGUAGCGCCGUCCAAUCAGGACGGGGGGCGGGCGCGCUCCAGAGGCGAGUCCCUCGCUGCCCUGCUGCCCUGCGUCUGAGCGCACCUGCCUCGCGCGGCGUCUAGCUCGGUCUCGCGGUCGGUGUCGUACAGCCGCUUGCCUGGACGCCGGGACAGUCCGGAGCGGGCUGCGAGAUGGCCUCUGUGGUCUUUGAGGAUGUGGCUGUGUACUUCACCCCGGAAGAGUGGGCUUUGUUGGAUCGAGGUCAGAGGAAGCUCUACAGAGAUGUGAUGCUGGAGACCUGCAGGAACCUGGCCGCAGUGGAUUGUUGCACUCAAGUUAAAACUUGUGGAUCAAGGACUCAGCUGAAUAUUUUGGAGAAUGAACUAUCCAGUGAAGAGAAAAUAGUAAGAUUUACAAGAAAUGAUCCCUGGGCUCUUUUUCGAGAAAACCCGGUGUUUCAUAACAUUGGUGAUCAGUCCCAAUCCCAGGAGAGGCGUUUGAGAAGUCCUUUGGUGGAGAGUGUCUGUGAACGUAUUGAAGGAGAUCCAUGUGGAGAAACCCUGAACCCGAUCACAAGUCUUACUGUGCAUGAGGGGUAUCCCACUGGAGGCAAAUCCUGUGAAUGUGCUAAGUGUAGAGAAGCCUUCGCAGAUGGUUCCUUCCUUGAGAAACUGCGAAGAUCUCACCCAGGACUCAAACCUAGUCCUGGUGAGGAGUGUGGCCCAGCCUGCAGCUCUGUCUCGAGCCUCAGCACUCACGUGGAUGCAGACCUUGUAGAGAAACCCUAUGAAGGUCAGGACGCUGGGAGAGCAUCGGACGCAUACGCGAAGAGUCUCAGUAGUAAAGUAUCUCUAGAGUGCAAGAAAUGUGGAAAAGCUUUCACUUGCACGUCUUCCUUUCAGGGGCAUGUGCGAGGUCCCUGUGGACAGAGUGUCCACGCGUGUGACGUGUGUGGGAAAACCUUCUUGUAUCACUCCUACCUUACACGUCAUGUGAGAACUCACACGGGGGAGAGACCCUAUGAAUGUAUGGAGUGUGGGAAAACCUACAGUUGCCUCUCAUAUUUUCGAGAACACAUGAGGUCACACACUGGAGAGAAACGCUAUGAAUGUAAGGAGUGUGGCAAGACAUUCAAGUACCCUGCAUCCCUGCAGGGACACCUGAUGACGCACACUGGAGAGAGACCUUAUCUGUGUCAGCAGUGUGGGAAAGCCUUCAGUUGUCCCAAAUACUUUCGAAGACACGUGAGAACGCACAGUGGGGUGAAGCCCUAUGAGUGUACGUUAUGUGAGAAAGCCUAUAGUUGUUCCUUAUCCCUCCGGGAGCAUGUGAGGACGCACAGCGAAGAGAGGCCGUAUGAGUGUAAGGAGUGUGGGAAGGCUUUCAGACACCCCCGAUACUUCCAGAGGCACGUGAGGAUGCACAGUGGGGUGAAACCCUAUGUGUGUAAGGAGUGUGGGAAAGCGUACAGUAGUUCCACGUCGCUUCAGGAACACGUGAGGUCGCACACGGGGGAGAGACCCUUUGAAUGCCAGCAGUGUGGGAAAGCCUUCACGCGUCACUCCUCCCUCCAAGGUCACGUGAGAGCACACAGUUUGGAGAAACGUUACGAGUGUACGCAGUGCGGGAAGGCCUUCCGUUGGUCCUCGUCCUUGCAGAAGCACGUGAGAACGCACCGUGAAGAGAAGCCCUACGAGUGCCAGCAGUGUGGCAAAGCCUUCUGGUAUCCCGCGAACCUGCGGGCGCACGUCAAGACCCACACGGAGGAGAGACCUUACGAAUGUCCGCACUGUGGGAAAGCCUUCAGUUGUCACUCCUCCCUGCAAGUACAUGCGAGAAAGCACAACGGAGUGAAACCCUACGAGUGUAAGGAGUGUGGGAAGGCCUUCUGGUAUCCCGUGAACCUGCGCGCUCAUGUGAGGACGCACACGGGAGAGAGACCUUACGAGUGCCAGCAGUGUGGGAAGGCCUACAGGUGUCCCGCAAACCUGCGGGUCCACGUGAGGACGCACACGGGGGAGAGACCCUACGAAUGCCAGCAGUGCGGGAAGGCCUUCAGGUAUCCCGCAAACCUGCGGGCGCACGUGAGGACACACACGGGGGAGAGACCCUACGAAUGUCCGCACUGUGGGAAGGCCUUCAGGUACCCCACAAACCUGCGGGCGCACGUGAAGAUGCACACUGGGGAGAAACCCUGAAUACACAAUGACGCUGUUUUCCCUCAUGUCUUAUUGCCUCUGUGGUCUUUGAGGAUGUGGCUGUGAACUUCACCCCAGAAGAGUGGGCUUUGCUGGAUCAUGGUCAGAGGAACCUCUUUAAAGAUGUGAUUCUGGAGACCUGCAGGAACCUGUCCUCCGUGGAGACAGAGCAUGAACGGGGGAGGGCCAGAGAGAGGGAGACACAGAGUCCGAAACAGGCUCCAGGCUCCGAGCUGUCAGCACAGACCCCUACGCGGGGCUCGAACUCACAGACUGUGAGAUCAUGACCUGAGCCGAAGCCGGCCGCUCAACCGACUGAGCCACCCAGGUGCCCCAAGAAACCCAAGUUUAUAUGGUAAAAUAAUCUACAAGGAAGGAUCUGAGACUGUACAAUGGGGAAAAGACUGUCUCUUCAAUAAGUGGUGCUGGGAAAAUGAGACAGCUACCUGCAAGGAGGUGAAACUGGGCAGCUUUGUACCCCUUACCUGAAAGGAAACUCAGUAUGGAUUAAACACCUCGGUGUAGGACUUGAACCCAUACAUGUCUUAAGACAAGAUGGAGACACUAAAUUCAUGGAUAUCUGCCAUAGCAUUAUUUUUGUGGAAUCAUCCCUUCAGGUAAGGGAAACAAAAGGAAAAAUAAAAAAUUGAAAGAGGAACAUAAUACACAUUUUCUCACAGAAAAUAUACAGAUGGCCUCUUGGCACAUGAAAAGCUGCUCAGUAUCACUAAUCCUCAAGGAAAUGCAAAUUAAAACCAGGUGAGCUAAUGGCUAGUAUGAAAGAAACAGGAAGUACAAGUGUUGGUAAGGAUGUGGAGAAGGGGAAACGCCUCAUUGGUGGGAUUUCAAUGGGUGCAGCCAGCUUGUCAAACAGUAUGGAGUUUCCACAACAAAAGGAAACACAACAAUACCAUAUGGUCCGUAAUUUCACUUGUGGGUAGUUCACCAAAGGUAAAAACCAGGACAGUAAGAUACGUGCACCCCGACGUUCACUGUGCUCAAGAUACCUUAGCAACACAGGAGUCCUUCAACAGAUGAAUGGAUAAUGAAGAUGUGGUAUGUACAUACAAGGGACUGUCCCUCAGUAAUAUAAAAGGGACAAAUUCUUGAUGUUUGUGACACCAUGGAUGGAGCUAGAGAGUAUUAUACCAAGUAAAUAAGUCAGACAGAGAGACAAACAAAACAGGUUACUUAUAUGUGGAAUCUAAAUGACAAAAUGAACAAACAGCAGAAAAUAGGAAGACUUAAAACUGUAGGGAACAAAUUGGUGUUUGUGAGAUUGGAAGGGCAUUGAGAGGUGAAAUCAUGGAGUGGAUUGAGAAGAACAGAUUUGCACUUAUUGAAUAAAUAAGUCAUGGGAAGGAAAAGUAGAGGACAGGGAAUAUGGUCAAUAAUUUUGUAGUUUUGUAUAGUGACAGCAAUUACACUUUUUAUGGUGAGCAUUUUGUAAUGUAUGCAAUUGUUGAAUCCCCAUGUUGCACACCUGACACGAAUAUAUAGGUCAGUAUGCUUCUACCAAAAAAUGAGUGAAUGAAUGAAUGAAUGAAUGAAU